Molecule: long non-coding RNA, 2707 nt
Organism: Felis catus (domestic cat)
Lineage: Eukaryota; Metazoa; Chordata; Mammalia; Carnivora; Felidae
Exons: 4
Source: RefSeq, a predicted model, not a curated record
UAAGAGGGCAUUUUUGACAAUAAAUUUGACAAUAAUUUGACAAUAAAUUUGACAAUAAAUUCCAUAUGUUAAAAAAAAAAAAGAUUAGGGUUGAACAGUCUGUCCCCUGGGGGAAAGAACCUCGCUAGCAGUGGAUGGGGUAGAGGCAAAAGUAAUUCUAGAGGGACAGGGAUAGAAGGGAGCUUAUGAAUGGCAAGGCAAGAUUAUCAGGCAUUUGAAAGCAGAAAAGAUUCAGAAAGACAGGGCCAUUCUUCCUGCAGGUCUCAGAGGUGUCAGUGUCCCUCUGGGAAAGGGAUGAGGAACCAACUGGUGGAUGACAAUUAAUGAAGGAGAUUUGAGAAGUCAAAUAAGGCAGCCCAGAGGAUCAUUGUUUUUGGUGCUUUAGAACAAAGUUGAGGAGGGGCUGCCCUCCAGGCAGGCCAACCACAGCAAGAAAAUGCUAGCACAGAUGACACUAGAGAGAUUUUAAAGUGUCAUUUUCCUUGAGAGGACGCUUGGGAUGUAACAGCUACUCAGUGAAGGUUUGCUCAAUUAAACUGAAUCCAAACAAGUAGAUUAAGAUGAAGCUAUGGACCUGCUCACCUUUUUCCUUAACAGUCAAAAAAAAAAAAAAAAAGGCCUUCAUUAUAGAAGUAUGCCACAGGGACAUUAGAGCAGGUCACAGGGAGACCUGCUUAACACAGAUUGCUGGAUCCACCCCCACAGUUUCAGUGUGUCUGGCUAGGGCCACCAAAUUUGCAUUUCUAAGAAGUUCCCAGUGGUGCUGAUGUUGCUGAUCCAGGGAUCACACUUUGAGAACCAUGGGUUGAGGGUUAAAGGGUUAAAGGAUGUUGAUUAUUCUGAGCCUCUUAGGAUAAGGCAAUUCAGGAAGUACAAUGAUUUUUCAUCUAUUCUUCUGUGUCAAGGGCUUAGAGAAUCCUCGAGCGAGUAUGAUUUAUAGAGCACUGUACUUUCUUGGGGGACUGGAUUUCCAUACUUAUUCCAAUGGCAUAGGCCAUUAAGGCUCCUAAUGGAUUGAGGAAUUAAUGAAGUAUCUGGCAAUGAAGCUUUGUGUAUCAUUAGAUUCCUUGAGCACAAAGGGCAUCAAGAAAUGAUGAGCUGUGAAGGAGUUGGAAGUUCAAAGCACAUCCACUGCCUUUUUUUCCCCUUUUAAUAUGAUUUGUAGUAUGAUUUUAUUGUUGUUUUGCCAAUUUAGUGAUUGUUUUUCCUUCCUAAUAUAGGCAGGUAAUUCCCAAACAGGCACAAAUGCUUUUUAAUUAGUGUUUCCCUAUCAGACAACUAACAAGCUAAUGAUAAUGAUAUAGUAGCUAAUUCCCUUUUCCUUUUGCUCUCCAAAGAUGCUUUUUCCAAGCACUACACAGACUCACACCACUCACACCACGCAGAAAUGUCUGACCUCAGCCAUCUAAGCAUGUUAUAAACAGAAGACACUAUGAAAUGGUACAGUAAAACUCAAUUCUGAAUACUCAUGCAUCAGCUCAUAAGUCCUCUGUCUCCCCACCCUCCUCACGAAAAGUUAUUUCUACACUUCAAGUUCAGAGCAUUAAAAUAUAUGGUUCAUGAUGUCAAGUGUGUUGCAUUAAAUCUUUAUUUAUGAUAUGUAUCAGAAGCCAUUUAUCUCAUUGCUUUUUGUUCAGUGAGAUUCACCAUGCAAAAAAAUGAGAAGCUAAGAAAAAGUCAAGAAGCAGGAUAAAGAGGAAAGGGCAGAGGAAUGAGCUCAGUCAGGCCAAGAGACACAGCUAGAAAAAUGGGCAGAGGUGGUAGGGAUCAGAUCAAAGUCUGCACUUAUUCAAAACAAGGCUAGAGAGUCAUUGUUGACCCUGAGAAAUUUAAAGAAGCACAAAAGAAUUCUAGAACUGGAAAGGCCAUAGUAGUUCAUACAUAAACUGACAAAUUAACAAAUGACUCUUGAAAAGUACUAUGUCAACAGCCCAGUCACACUUUUUAUUUUAGAUCAGAAGAUACACCACAGAGAAGCUCAUCAAAUAGGAAUCCGUCUGGAAGCACCUUUUAACCCCAGCACCAGAACACUGACUGCACACAGCAGAGAUCCAUAGGCUUUACUAAAAAUACUGCCAAAGGAGUCCAUGGAACAGAAGAGUUAAGAACUCCUGACACAGAACUAUUAAAAAUGUCCACAGUCACUAUGGACACCGUGAUUACAACCAUGCACACAAAUGAAGAGAGAUUUCAAUGAAGAACAUCAUGUUUAGGAUCAGAAGUAGCCAACUUACUCCCACAGUGAACCAAAAGCACCAUGUACUACCCUCUGUUUCCCUGUCUUUGCAACUAGCCAUGAACAGGUCACAAAAAGGUGUACAGCUGCAACAGAGGAAUCGUUCUGCCCUCAAGGAAGUGGCUCUGAAGCAGUGUGAGAUCUGGAGUGGAGCAUGACAACCCAGCAGUCUCAAGAUGAAGUGUCAAGUCAGCAGACAAAGCUGGCUGCAAAAGCAAAGCAGACUCUCACAGGAAAAGGACUGCCUGCAGCCCUCUGGCAGCAUGCUGGGACUCACAGGCAGGACACAAUCAAAGCUCUGCUUCUGCAAAUGGUUACAUGCGAAGGACUAUCCCUUUCACCAUCAACCUCAGAGAAGACCCAAACUACAAGGCUCUGGAAGAUCCAAUGAACGUUUGUGGAGUCACUCUAAAUGGGAUGCCUUUGUCCCUCGUGUCUUACCUUGAUCACAAUAUAAGUGACAAUGCCUGA